RNAcentral lists this ribosomal RNA (468 nucleotides) under uncultured bacterium. RNAcentral's name for it is "partial 16S ribosomal RNA". It matches the Rfam family "Bacterial small subunit ribosomal RNA", at positions 28 to 507 of the family's 1533-position model. The record is from RNAcentral.
GACGAACGCUGGCGGCGCGCCUAACACAUGCAAGUCGAACGGAGUCAAGAGGAGCUUGCUUUUCUUGACUUAGUGGCGAACGGGUGAGUAACGCGUGAGUAACCUGCCCUGGAGUGGGGGACAACAGUUGGAAACGACUGCUAAUACCGCAUAAGCCCACGGAUCUGCAUGGAUCUGCGGGAAAAGGAUUUAUUCGCUCUAGGAUGGACUCGCGUCCAAUUAGCUAGUUGGUGAGGUAACGGCCCACCAACGCGACGAUUGGUAGCCGGACUGAGAGGUUGAGCGGCCACAUUGGGACUGAGACACGGCCCAGACUCCUACGGGAGGCAGCAGUGGGGGAUAUUGCACAAUGGGGGAAACCCUGAUGCAGCGACGCCGCGUGGAGGAAGAAGGUUUUCGGAUUGUAAACUCCUGUCGUUAGGGACGAUAAUGACGGUACCUAACAAGAAAGCAACAGCUAACUACGUG